AACGAACGCUGGCGGCAUGCCUAACACAUGCAAGUCGAACGAGACCUUCGGGUCUAGUGGCGCACGGGUGCGUAACGCGUGGGAAUUUGCCUCGGGGUACGGAAUAACUCAGGGAAACUUGAGCUAAUACCGUAUGAUGUCUUCGGACCAAAGAUUUAUCGCCCUGAGAUAAGCCCGCGUAGGAUUAGCUAGUUGGUGAGGUAAGAGCUCACCAAGGCGACGAUCCUUAGCUGGUCUGAGAGGAUGAUCAGCCACACUGGGACUGAGACACGGCCCAGACUCCUACGGGAGGCAGCAGUGGGAAUAUUGGACAAUGGGCGAAAGCCUGAUCCAGCAAUGCCGCGUGAGUGAUGAAGGCCUGGUUGUAAG
RNAcentral lists this ribosomal RNA (369 nucleotides) under uncultured bacterium. RNAcentral describes it as "bacterial SSU rRNA". It matches the Rfam family "Bacterial small subunit ribosomal RNA", at positions 29 to 429 of the family's 1533-position model. The record is from RNAcentral.